UUCCGUAGGUGAACCUGCGGAAGGAUCAUUACCGAGUGAGGGCCCUCUGGGUCCAACCUCCCACCCGUGUUUAUUUACCUUGUUGCUUCGGCGAGCCUGCCUUUUGGCUGCCGGGGGACGUCAGUCCCCGGGUCCGUGCUCGCCGGAGACACCUUAGAACUCUGUCUGAAGAUUGUAGUCUGAGAUUAAAUAUAAAUUAUUUAAAACUUUCAACAACGGAUCUCUUGGUUCCGGCAUCGAUGAAGAACGCAGCGAAAUGCGAUACGUAAUGUGAAUUGCAGAAUUCAGUGAAUCAUCGAGUCUUUGAACGCACAUUGCGCCCUCUGGUAUUCCGGAGGGCAUGCCUGUCCGAGCGUCAUUGCUGCCCUCAAGCACGGCUUGUGUGUUGGGCCCCGUCCUCCUUCCGGGGGACGGGUCCGAAAGGCAGCGGCGGCACCGCGUCCGGUCCUCAAGCGUAUGGGGCUUUGUCACUCGCUUUGUAGGCCUGGCCGGCGCUUGCCGAUCAACCAAACUUUUUAUCAGGUUGACCUCGGAUCAGGUAGG
RNAcentral lists this ribosomal RNA (543 nucleotides) under Penicillium brevicompactum. RNAcentral describes it as "eukaryotic LSU rRNA". The stretch from base 205 to 358 matches the Rfam family "5.8S ribosomal RNA". Lineage: Eukaryota; Fungi; Ascomycota; Eurotiomycetes; Eurotiales; Aspergillaceae. The record is from RNAcentral.